GGCCCCGUAGCUCAGUCGGAUAGAGCUGCAGUUUCCUAAACUGUGAGUCGGAGGUUCGAAUCCUCUCGGGGCCGCCA
Molecule: transfer RNA, 77 nt
Filed under: Ammoniphilus oxalaticus
Lineage: Bacteria; Bacillati; Bacillota; Bacilli; Caryophanales; Paenibacillaceae
Description: tRNA-Arg
Rfam family: tRNA
About the family: Transfer RNA (tRNA) molecules are approximately 80 nucleotides in length.
Source: RNAcentral